Molecule: ribosomal RNA, 486 nt
Filed under: uncultured bacterium
Lineage: Bacteria
Description: bacterial SSU rRNA
Rfam family: Bacterial small subunit ribosomal RNA
Source: RNAcentral
AAUCAACGCUGGCGGCGUGCCUCAGACAUGCAAGUCGAACGAUUAAGACUUCCUUCGGGAAGUGCGUAAAGUGGCGCACGGGUGAGUAACACGUAAGUAAUCUACCUUCGAGUGGGGAAUAACGUUCGGAAACGAACGCUAAUACCGCAUAAUGCAGCGGCAUCGCAAGAUGACAGUUGUUAAAGGAAUUUAUUUCGCUUGAAGAGGAGCUUGCGGCAGAUUAGCUAGUUGGUAAGGUAACGGCUUACCAAGGCUACGAUCUGUAUCCGGUCUAAGAGGACGGUCGGACACACUGACACUGAAUAACGGGUCAGACUCCUACGGGAGGCAGCAGUCGGGAAUUUUGGGCAAUGGGCGAAAGCCUGACCCAGCAACGCCGCGUGAAGGAUGAAGUAUUUCGGUAUGUAAACUUCGAAAGAAUGGGAAGAAUAAAUGACGGUACCAUUUAUAAGCUCCGGCUAACUACGUGCCAGCAGCCGCGGUAAU